AACGAACGCUGGCGGCGUGCUUAACACAUGCAAGUCGAACGAGAAGGCCCUGCUUAGUGGGGGUGCGCGGGUUGCGAACGGGUGAGUAACACGUGGGUAACCUGCCCCUCACUGUGGGAGAACUUAAUGAAACUUGGUCUAAUAGCGGAUAGGAUCUCCUGCUUCUUGGUGGGGGUGGGUUGGUUUCGGCGGUUGGUGAUGGACUAGCGGCUUGUUAGCUUGUUGGUGGGGUAGUGGAUUACCAAGGCUAGGCCGGGUAGCAGUCCUGAGAGGGUGACCGGACACAUUGCGACUGAGAUACGGCACAGCCUCCUACGGGAGGCAGCGGUGGGGAAUAUUGUACAAUGGGAGGAAGGCUGAUGUAGUAAAGCCGCGUGCGGGAUGACGGCAUUCGGGUUGUAAACCGCUUUCGCCUGUCACGAAGCGUGAGUGACGGUAAUGGGUAAAGAAGCACCGGCUAACUACGUG
This 468-nucleotide ribosomal RNA is filed under the name uncultured bacterium. RNAcentral describes it as "partial 16S ribosomal RNA". It matches the Rfam family "Bacterial small subunit ribosomal RNA", at positions 28 to 507 of the family's 1533-position model. The record is from RNAcentral.